This 979-nucleotide long non-coding RNA is filed under the name Panax ginseng (ginseng). RNAcentral describes it as "long non-coding RNA (PGIN_LNC005716)". The record is from RNAcentral. Lineage: Eukaryota; Viridiplantae; Streptophyta; Magnoliopsida; Apiales; Araliaceae.
UCUAAUUAAAAUAAAAUAAACAUAUAUCAGCUAGUAGAGUUACAUAUAUCCAUUACAAUCGAUCGAUCAAGUCUAGCUCUCCCCAAAUCGAACGAAAAAACCUAGCUCAACCGAAACGAAGAAUUUCUGAUAAUCAACCAUUCCGGCAAGAUAAUCGGUUCAACAAUGAAGUAAGUAUGUGAUUUUUCUCUUCUCUUUUACUCUUAUUCUCUAUGUACUGUAAAUCCCUUUCUGUGGCGGCUUAAACCCAUCCGGCUUGAUAAGCUUUGUCGUGUGGGGUUAGCUAUAUAUUGAGAUUCGCCGUCAUGCAUAGUGCUAUUUCGGAUCUGGGCAGGCUGGAGUUAGAAGAUUUUUUUCUGUGCUGAUUUCAUGCGUUUUUAUUACUUUAUCCCUUAAUCGAUUAUGGGUGUUUUUGUUUGGUCUCUCUUUGGUUUCGCUUGCCGGACUGCUGUCGAUUGUUAUGGGUGAACUGUUUCCGUAGUCGGUCGGCUGCGUGUUCGCAUGCUCUCCCAUGUGCAUUACAGCUGGCUCUUGAGUUCGUCGGACUGCUUUGGUUUGGGUAAACCUCACGUGGGCUGUGUAGUUAAUGAUGUGCUCUGGUUUGGGUCUGGUGAAAUUCUGAAAUUGCAUCAGAAAAUUGAUUAUUUUCGAGAUGUAAUGAAAUCAAGUGGGAGAGAUUGGCCAAUGAAGAAGGGAUAUCACCGGUAAAAUUAUUCUCAGAAAGCCAUAAAAAACGUCAUUUUCGAAAAGAAAUUGGAUGAGAUUUCACCAGAAAACUGAUUGGGUUUGUAAAAAGCAGAUCUGUGACCUUUUGAUUUGUGAAUAGGAGAUUGAGAUAAUGUGAGAUUGGGUUUGUAAAAGAGCAGGCUUGUGACUUUUUGAUUUGUGAAUAGGAGAGAGAGUGAGAUUGUUUCUUAAUGUUUUUUUAUCUGUUUGUUUUAUUUUAAUUAAAAAUGUUAAAUUAGGUUUUGACCAUUUU